UCUCCGUUGGUGAACCAGCGGAGGGAUCAUUACCGAGUUUACAACUCCCAAACCCAAUGUGAACCAUACCAAACUGUUGCCUCGGCGGGGCCACGCCCCGGGUGCGUCGCAGCCCCGGAACCAGGCGCCCGCCGGAGGGACCAACCAAACUCUUUCUGUAGUCCCCUCGCGGACGUUAUUUUUACAGCUCUGAGCAAAAAUUCAAAAUGAAUCAAAACUUUCAACAACGGAUCUCUUGGUUCUGGCAUAGAUGAAGAACGCAGC
RNAcentral lists this unclassified non-coding RNA (264 nucleotides) under plant metagenome. RNAcentral's name for it is "partial contains small subunit ribosomal RNA, internal transcribed spacer 1, and 5.8S ribosomal RNA". The stretch from base 216 to 264 matches the Rfam family "5.8S ribosomal RNA", at positions 1 to 49 of the family's 154-position model. The record is from RNAcentral.